AGGACUGGGACACCUGAACAGACCAGAAGAAGCUGUUCGCAUCGCCAGAGAGAUGCAGAGCAUCGAUGGAGCAAAGAUGGUUGCCAGGUGUCCUCGGGUAUGGAGGGCCACCCGGGCUGCGUUAUUACGCACCAAGGACCGUAAUAAUCGCAUUGCUGACCGCCAUCGGUCCUCCACCCCCGCCUGUGCUGUUGGACAAAAGGUAUGGCUUUCCACACGCUUCGUUCCCGUCAGGGCGGAAUCCAAGAAGCUCACUCCCACCUUUAUUGGCCCGUUCGAGAUCUCUGCUUUGGUUAACCCUGUGUCCGUAAAGCUCAAACUACCUCGCAACAUGAAAAUACACGACGUCUUCCAUGUGUCUCAGAUUAAACCUCUCCAGUCCAGCCCUCUGUGCCCUCCUUCCAGGCCCCUCCUCCCCCCCGGCUCGUGGAUGGUCUGCCGGCCUACUCUAUCACCCGUAUCAUGGAUUCUCGGCGCCCGGGGCGUGGCUACCAGUACCUGGUGGAUUGGGAAGGCUACGGCUUGGAGGACCGGUCCUGGAUCCCUCGGGCGGCUGUCCUGGACAAGCGCAUGCUGCGGGAGUUCCAUCGCCUGCAUCCGGGCCUAUUUAAGACGGCAGCACUGUGUUACUCGUCGCUGGAUCGUUGAGCUAUCAGCAUCUACCCCGGACCUUUCCCUGCCUGCCUGUUACCGGGUGGACGAGUGAGUGGAUUUGUGUUACCCCGCUGUGGAGAGAGGAGAGAGAUUCGUUGGAGUGUGUCUGAUUUCCGUCCUUCCCCUCACAUGCCCCGGAGCCCUGGAUCCCCCUCCCCUCCCUCCAGCAAGUUGUACAUAGUAUCACCUGGUGUCGUUUGUGUUAAUAAACUGACUGUCUACUCUGCAAGGAUUCCCGGUCUGCGCCUGAGUCCAUUAACUAAAACCUGACAAUUUUGCUUCUUUCUCAGGACGAAGGUGGGAGAGCUGCUUCCAAACGUCUCUUCUCCCAAGAUUCACUUGCAGUAUGCAAAGGCCAAGGAGGCGGAUGGCAAAUACAAGGAUGCGGCACGAGCCUACGAGAGCGCGAAGGACUGAGACAAUGUGAUCCGCGUG
Molecule: RNA transcript, 1089 nt
Organism: Oreochromis niloticus (Nile tilapia)
Lineage: Eukaryota; Metazoa; Chordata; Actinopteri; Cichliformes; Cichlidae
Exons: 5
Source: RefSeq, a predicted model, not a curated record